Molecule: ribosomal RNA, 621 nt
Filed under: Bacillus pumilus
Lineage: Bacteria; Bacillati; Bacillota; Bacilli; Caryophanales; Bacillaceae
Description: bacterial SSU rRNA
Rfam family: Bacterial small subunit ribosomal RNA
Source: RNAcentral
UGGCGCGGGCUAUAAUGCAGUCGAGCGGACAGAAGGGAGCUUGCUCCCGGAUGUUAGCGGCGGACGGGUGAGUAACACGUGGGUAACCUGCCUGUAAGACUGGGAUAACUCCGGGAAACCGGAGCUAAUACCGGAUAGUUCCUUGAACCGCAUGGUUCAAGGAUGAAAGACGGUUUCGGCUGUCACUUACAGAUGGACCCGCGGCGCAUUAGCUAGUUGGUGGGGUAAUGGCUCACCAAGGCGACGAUGCGUAGCCGACCUGAGAGGGUGAUCGGCCACACUGGGACUGAGACACGGCCCAGACUCCUACGGGAGGCAGCAGUAGGGAAUCUUCCGCAAUGGACGAAAGUCUGACGGAGCAACGCCGCGUGAGUGAUGAAGGUUUUCGGAUCGUAAAGCUCUGUUGUUAGGGAAGAACAAGUGCGAGAGUAACUGCUCGCACCUUGACGGUACCUAACCAGAAAGCCACGGCUAACUACCUGCCAGCAUCCGCCGUAAUACUUAGGUGGCAAGCGUUGUCCGGAAUUAUUGGGGGUAAAGGGCUCGCAGGCGGUUUCUUAAGUCUGAUGUGUAAGCCCCCGGCUCAACCGGGGAGGGUCAUUGGAAUUAGGUAAACUUGAG